UGAAAAUGAUUAAUUUGAGACGUUAAUCAACUGGGAUGAAAUUAAAUGAAAUGAGAUGAUAUGGAAUGAAAUAUAAUCUUAGUAAAAUGGUGGUCAUUUACUAAGAUUUUUUCAGUGGACUUUUUGGAGGAUCCCGAGAAGUUGCGUCCAGCGGCUUUGUUUCAUUUUCCCACAUUUGUGCACUUUCACAGAUAUUAAACACUUACUAAACCACCGUUAUUACACAUUUAAACCUGAAGAAACACUAAAUAGACAAAAUAAAACAAAUCACACAACUUCACUCCUCGCGCUCCCGCCAAAAAGUCCUCGCGAGUAACUCUCAACCAUAAAUUUAAAUAGAUUAUACACUUAGGCUAAGUUCACAUGACCGGUACCGCGCAUAGAUUAUACACUUAAUAUAUUGUACCGCGCGGAACUGCUCACCGCGCGGUACAAGUUCAAGUAUUUAUUGUUCACAUAAUAGCGCGCUGUCGCGCGGUACCGCGCGGUACGCUACAAAACUGUGUCUACAUGUUCAGCUGAUCCGCGCGGUUUGAGACGGACAGACGCAUAGAUCAAAGAAAAAUGAGUACCUAGCGAAGACGAUAUCGUGUCUAUCGAUUUUAAAUAGUUUUCAACGCAAUCAUAUAAAAAUGAAAAGAUGCAACUGACAUCUUAAACUAGGUAGUAAAAGAAUUUUAUUCGUGUAGUCUCAGGUCGGGAUAUAAAAUUACAAAAAGGCUUGAAGAAAGUCUUUCGAUUAAAAUAGGAUGCACCCAGUAUCGCCUUUGUCUUCUUCUCCGACGUCUCAGUUUUCUGUAUAAAAUUAAUAAGCAAAUUGCUUAACCCGGUCAGAGUAGGCGGGUUCCCGCGGUCAACACUACAACCAGACACGCAGCCAAACCCGAGGACGCCCCACCGACGGGUCGUCGAGGCGAUAGUCGACGACCAACGACGUCGGUCUCCGCAGUACGGCGGCCCUGCCAGGCCGCCCGGGCGAUGCCGCUGGUGUUCCGGGACACCCCGCUGGGCCAGGACCAGCCUGCCGGGUCGGAACGCGAUACACCGUUUUAUUUAUUUAUAAAAAUGAAAUUAUCGAAUAAUAGCAUAUCUGACUACCGAAAAAAUUAAUAAUAAUAAUAAUAUUCAAUUAAGUUAGACUUUUGUUUGUCCUCCCGUGUUGUUAUUUGAAAACAGAAAAUGUAUAAUUACAUACUCUUUUGAGAACCUUCAUGGGAACUAUUCAAACCUCGAUAAAGGCUUAAAUCGAAUUUAAAUUUAAAUAAAAAAAAAGUUUUAAGCGUCGUCUUUUUUUCACUUCUUUAGCGUCGCAUUCGUUAUAAAUUUGUUAAUUUUUUGUUUUAUUUUAUAUUAAUAAUAAAUAUAAAUAAUAAUAAUAAAAUUAUAAUAAAAUCAUAAAUAUUUACUGUAUUUUCUAUGGAGUUAUGCGUUUUGCAUUUUAAAUUUAAUAUAAAAACAACUAAUAAUAACAUUAUGUAACGUCGACUCCCGUCUACAUAUCCAUAAAUUAUUAUUACUUCAUUAAUAUAAAUAUGUGCCGCAAUAAUCAAGAGCUCCUCGAAGUAACCUUCGCCGGAGAAAGAGCUGGAGACCACGGGUUUAACUCAAGAACAACUGGUCGGAGCUUGAUAAAGAGAUGGAACUGCAUGAGAAGUACCAGUUUUCAAAUAAAAGGAGAAACAUCAGAAACAGUUCACGUCGAGAAAAGUUCUGAGGUAACAAAUAAUACAGUCGAAUGGAGAGACUCCUUGUUUUUGAAACGAAAAAGAAAAAAUCCGUCUACAGGUGGUAAGGCGUCUUGUGAGCCCACCAGGGUAAACGAGCGCAGACCGAUAUACAUGUAGACGGACAAGUUCGCUCCGAUACACGCUGACGCUUCGUCCUUCGUCGAGAUGUCAGUCGAACAGGAAGAAGAUCCUCGUGACGGGCAUCAAGGUCGUGGAUCUCCUGGCUCCGUACGUCAAAGAUUUUAGGCGGCGUGUUUAAUCACAUUCCGGAGGCUGCCUUCUACAUGGUGGGCACCAUAAAGGACGUGAUCGCCAAGUUACAGGAACUCGCCAAAAGCGUGUAGAGUCGAAAUGUUUUAUACGUUAUUUUAUUUGAAUAAAGAUGUUGGAUUU
RNA transcript from Bombyx mori (domestic silkworm), 2120 nucleotides. RefSeq lists it as uncharacterized. NCBI's taxonomy places the organism in Eukaryota, Metazoa, Arthropoda, Insecta, Lepidoptera, Bombycidae. The record is from RefSeq and is a predicted model, not a curated record. The transcript is spliced from 5 exons.